Molecule: ribosomal RNA, 439 nt
Filed under: uncultured bacterium
Lineage: Bacteria
Description: bacterial SSU rRNA
Rfam family: Bacterial small subunit ribosomal RNA
Source: RNAcentral
AACGAACGCUGGCGGCAUGCCUAACACAUGCAAGUCGAACGAGAUCCUUCGGGGUCUAGUGGCGGACGGGUGAGUAACGCGUGGGGACCUGCCCAGGGGUACGGAAUAACUACGGGAAACUGUAGCUAAUACCGUAUGAUGCCGAAAAGCCAAAGAUUUAUCGCCCUUGGAUGGACCCGCGUUGGAUUAGCUAGUUGGUGAGGUAAUGGCUCACCAAGGCGACGAUCCAUAGCUGGUUUGAGAAGAUGAUCAGCCACACUGGGACUGAGACACGGCCCAGACUCCUACGGGAGGCAGCAGUGGGGGAAUAUUGGACAAUGGGCGAAAGACCUGAUCCAGCAAUGCCGCGUGAGUGAAGAAGGCCUUAGGGUUGUAAAGACUCUUUCUAGAUGGGAAGGAUAAUGACGGUACCAUCAGAAGAAGCCCCGGCUAACUCCGU